RNAcentral lists this ribosomal RNA (1484 nucleotides) under metagenome. RNAcentral's name for it is "bacterial SSU rRNA". It matches the Rfam family "Bacterial small subunit ribosomal RNA". The record is from RNAcentral.
AGAGUUUGAUCCUGGCUCAGGAUGAACGCUAGCUACAGGCUUAACACAUGCAAGUCGAGGGGCAGCAUGGUCUUAGCUUGCUAAGGCCGAUGGCGACCGGCGCACGGGUGAGUAACACGUAUCCAACCUGCCGUCUACUCUUGGACAGCCUUCUGAAAGGAAGAUUAAUACAAGAUGGCAUCAUGAGUCCGCAUGUUCACAUGAUUAAAGGUAUUCCGGUAGACGAUGGGGAUGCGUUCCAUUAGAUAGUAGGCGGGGUAACGGCCCACCUAGUCUUCGAUGGAUAGGGGUUCUGAGAGGAAGGUCCCCCACAUUGGAACUGAGACACGGUCCAAACUCCUACGGGAGGCAGCAGUGAGGAAUAUUGGUCAAUGGGCGAGAGCCUGAACCAGCCAAGUAGCGUAAGGAUGACUGCCCUAUGGGUUGUAAACUUCUUUUAUAAAGGAAUAAAGUCGGGUAUGCAUACCCGUUUGCAUGUACUUUAUGAAUAAGGAUCGGCUAACUCCGUGCCAGCAGCCGCGGUAAUACGGAGGAUCCGAGCGUUAUCCGGAUUUAUUGGGUUUAAAGGGAGCGUAGAUGGAUGUUUAAGUCAGUUGUGAAAGUUUGCGGCUCAACCGUAAAAUUGCAGUUGAUACUGGAUAUCUUGAGUGCAGUUGAGGCAGGCGGAAUUCGUGGUGUAGCGGUGAAAUGCUUAGAUAUCACGAAGAACUCCGAUUGCGAAGGCAGCCUGCUAAGCUGCAACUGACAUUGAGGCUCGAAAGUGUGGGUAUCAAACAGGAUUAGAUACCCUGGUAGUCCACACGGUAAACGAUGAAUACUCGCUGUUUGCGAUAUACAGCAAGCGGCCAAGCGAAAGCGUUAAGUAUUCCACCUGGGGAGUACGCCGGCAACGGUGAAACUCAAAGGAAUUGACGGGGGCCCGCACAAGCGGAGGAACAUGUGGUUUAAUUCGAUGAUACGCGAGGAACCUUACCCGGGCUUAAAUUGCAGAUGAAUUACGGUGAAAGCCGUAAGCCGCAAGGCAUCUGUGAAGGUGCUGCAUGGUUGUCGUCAGCUCGUGCCGUGAGGUGUCGGCUUAAGUCCAUAACGAGCGCAACCCUUGUUGUCAGUUACUAACAGGUUCUGCUGAGGACUCUGACAAGACUGCCAUCGUAAGAUGUGAGGAAGGUGGGGAUGACGUCAAAUCAGCACGGCCCUUACGUCCGGGGCUACACACGUGUUACAAUGGGGGGUACAGAGGGCCGCUACCACGCGAGUGGAUGCCAAUCCCCAAAACCUCUCUCAGUUCGGACUGGAGUCUGCAACCCGACUCCACGAAGCUGGAUUCGCUAGUAAUCGCGCAUCAGCCACGGCGCGGUGAAUACGUUCCCGGGCCUUGUACACACCGCCCGUCAAGCCAUGGGAGCCGGGGGUACCUGAAGUGCGUAACCGCGAGGAGCGCCCUAGGGUAAAACUGGUGACUGGGGCUAAGUCGGAACAAGGUA